This 69-nucleotide transfer RNA is filed under the name Emeia pseudosauteri. RNAcentral's name for it is "tRNA-Gln". The record is from RNAcentral. Lineage: Eukaryota; Metazoa; Arthropoda; Insecta; Coleoptera; Lampyridae.
UAUAAAUUAGUAUAAGAUGUACAUGAAUUUUUGAUUUUCACGGAAAUAGUUUAAUUCUAUUAUUUGUAA